RNAcentral lists this ribosomal RNA (429 nucleotides) under Actinomycetes bacterium. Its description in RNAcentral is "Actinobacteria bacterium partial 16S ribosomal RNA". It matches the Rfam family "Bacterial small subunit ribosomal RNA", at positions 355 to 776 of the family's 1533-position model. Lineage: Bacteria; Bacillati; Actinomycetota; Actinomycetes. The record is from RNAcentral.
UAGGGAAUCUUCCGCAAUGGGCGAAAGCCUGACGGAGCAACGCCGCGUGAGUGAUGAAGGUCCUCGGAUCGUAAAACUCUGUUAUUAGGGAAGAACAAAUGUGUAAGUAACUAUGCACGUCUUGACGGUACCUAAUCAGAAAGCCACGGCUAACUACGUGCCAGCAGCCGCGGUAAUACGUAGGUGGCAAGCGUUAUCCGGAAUUAUUGGGCGUAAAGCGCGCGUAGGCGGUUUUUUAAGUCUGAUGUGAAAGCCCACGGCUCAACCGUUGAGGGUCAUUGGAAACUGGAAAACUUGAGUGCAGAAGAGGAAAGUGGAAUUCCAUGUGUAGCGGUGAAAUGCGCAGAGAUAUGGAGGAACACCAGUGGCGAAGGCGACUUUCUGGUCUGUAACUGACGCUGAUGUGCGAAAGCGUGGGGAUCAAACAGG